GGCUCCGUAGCUCAACUGAAUAGAGCAUCAGAUUUCGGCUCUGAGGGUUGGGGGUUUGAAUCCCUCCGGGGUCACAA
Molecule: transfer RNA, 77 nt
Filed under: Flavobacteriales bacterium
Lineage: Bacteria; Pseudomonadati; Bacteroidota; Flavobacteriia; Flavobacteriales
Description: tRNA-Arg
Rfam family: tRNA
About the family: Transfer RNA (tRNA) molecules are approximately 80 nucleotides in length.
Source: RNAcentral